UGGGAUAAGCCUGGGAAACUGGGUCUAAUACCGAAUAUGACCACGCGCUUCAUGGUGUGUGGUGGAAAGCUUAUGCGGUGUGGGAUGGGCCCGCGGCCUAUCAGCUUGUUGGUGGGGUAAUGGCCUACCAAGGCGACGACGGGUAGCCGGCCUGAGAGGGUGACCGGCCACACUGGGAAUGAGAUACGGCCCAGACUCCUACGGGAGGCAGCAGUGGGGAAUAUUGCACAAUGGGCGCAAGCCUGAUGCAGCGACGCCGCGUGAGGGAUGACGGCCUUCGGGUUGUAAACCUCUUUCAAUAGGGACGAAGCGCAAGUGACGGUACCUAUAGAAGAAGGACCGGCCAACUACGUGCCAGCAGCCGCGGUAAUACGUAGGGUCCGAGCGUUGUCCGGAAUUACUGGGCGUAAAGAGCUCGUAGGUGGUUUGUCGCGUUGUUCGUGAAAACUCACAGCUUAACUGUGGGCGUGCGGGCGAUACGGGCAGACUAGAGUACUGCAGGGGAGACUGGAAUUCCUGGUGUAGCGGUGGAAUGCGCAGAUAUCAGGAGGAACACCGGUGGCGAAGGCGGGUCUCUGGGCAGUAACUGACGCUGAGGAGCGAAAGCGUGGGGAGCGAACAGGAUUAGAUACCCUGGUAGUCCACGCCGUAAACGGUGGGUACUAGGUGUGGGUUUCCUUCCUUGGGAUCCGUGCCGUAGCUAACGCAUUAAGUACCCCGCCUGGGGAGUACGGCCGCAAGGCUAAAACUCAAAGGAAUUGACGGGGGCCCGCACAAGCGGCGGAGCAUGUGGAUUAAUUCGAUGCAACGCGAAGAACCUUACCUGGGUUGACAUG
Molecule: ribosomal RNA, 836 nt
Filed under: Mycolicibacterium fortuitum
Lineage: Bacteria; Bacillati; Actinomycetota; Actinomycetes; Mycobacteriales; Mycobacteriaceae
Description: bacterial SSU rRNA
Rfam family: Bacterial small subunit ribosomal RNA
Source: RNAcentral